RNAcentral lists this transfer RNA (76 nucleotides) under bacterium. RNAcentral describes it as "tRNA-Lys". It matches the Rfam family "tRNA". From Rfam's summary of the family: Transfer RNA (tRNA) molecules are approximately 80 nucleotides in length. Their secondary structure includes four short double-helical elements and three loops (D, anti-codon, and T loops). Further hydrogen bonds mediate the characteristic L-shaped molecular structure. tRNAs have two regions of fundamental functional importance: the anti-codon, which is responsible for specific mRNA codon recognition, and the 3' end, to which the tRNAs corresponding amino acid is attached (by aminoacyl-tRNA synthetases). tRNAs cope with the degeneracy of the genetic code in two manners: having more than one tRNA (with a specific anti-codon) for a particular amino acid; and 'wobble' base-pairing, i.e. permitting non-standard base-pairing at the 3rd anti-codon position. The record is from RNAcentral.
GGGCCCUUAGCUCAGCGGGUAGAGCGGCGGGCUUUUAACCCGCGCGUCGGGGGUUCGAGUCCCUCAGGGCCCACCA